GCCGCCGCGGUAACACCGGCAGCUCUAGUGGUAGCAGUUUUUAUUGGGCCUAAAGCGUCCGUAGCCGGUUUAAUAAGUCUCUGGUGAAAUCCUGUAGCUUAACUGUGGGAAUUGCUGGAGAUACUAUUAGACUUGAGACCGGGAGAGGUUAGAGGUACUCCCAGGGUAGAGGUGAAAUUCUGUAAUCCUGGGAGGACCGCCUGUUGCGAAGGCGUCUAACUGGAACGGUUCUGACGGUGAGGGACGAAAGUUAGGGGCGCGAACCGGAUUAGAUACCCC
This 279-nucleotide ribosomal RNA is filed under the name uncultured Oscillospiraceae bacterium. RNAcentral describes it as "partial 16S ribosomal RNA". It matches the Rfam family "Archaeal small subunit ribosomal RNA", at positions 461 to 739 of the family's 1478-position model. Lineage: Bacteria; Bacillati; Bacillota; Clostridia; Eubacteriales; Oscillospiraceae. The record is from RNAcentral.